AGUGAACGCUGGCGGCAGGCCUAACACAUGCAAGUCGAACGGUAGCACAGAGGAGCUUGCUCCUUGGGUGACGAGUGGCGGACGGGUGAGGAAUAUAUCGGAAUCUACCCAAUCGUGGGGGAUAACGUAGGGAAACUUACGCUAAUACCGCAUACGAUCUGAGGAUGAAAGCGGCGGACCGCAAGGCGUCGCGCGAUUGGAUGAGCCGAUAUCCGAUUAGCUAGUUGGUAAGGUAAAGCUUACCAAGGCGACGAUCGGUAGCUGGUCUGAGAGGAUGAUCAGCCACACUGGAACUGAGACACGGUCCAGACUCCUACGGGAGGCAG
Molecule: ribosomal RNA, 326 nt
Filed under: uncultured Pseudomonadota bacterium
Lineage: Bacteria; Pseudomonadati; Pseudomonadota
Description: bacterial SSU rRNA
Rfam family: Bacterial small subunit ribosomal RNA
Source: RNAcentral